UCAUUUCAUGAAAUCUUGGACCCGUCAGCGAUGUUUCUCAGAGCCCAUGGUUUCUUCCGUGUAAACAUGGCGCAGAUGAUAUCGAUGACUGCAGCGGUAAUAACUUACACUGUUAUCCUUAUACAAACAAGUCAAAGUGUCAAGGGACUGCAUCACCAGGCUCUGCACGUUCCAGGCAGGGAUAAUAAAAGCCAUAUGCACGAGUG
This is a long non-coding RNA of Rhipicephalus microplus (southern cattle tick), 206 nucleotides long. NCBI's taxonomy places the organism in Eukaryota, Metazoa, Arthropoda, Arachnida, Ixodida, Ixodidae. The record is from RefSeq and is a predicted model, not a curated record.